AGUUAGCUGACGAGUCCCGAAUAGGACGAAAUGCGCGUUAUCCUGGAU
This is a non-coding RNA of Trichobilharzia regenti, 48 nucleotides long. Lineage: Eukaryota; Metazoa; Platyhelminthes; Trematoda; Strigeidida; Schistosomatidae. The record is from Rfam.